UACGUAGGGUGCAAGCGUUGUCCGGAAUUAUUGGGCGUAAAGAGCUCGUAGGCGGUCUGUCGCGUCGGCUGUGAAAACCCGGAGCUCAACUCCGGGCCUGCAGUCGAUACGGGCAGACUGGAGUUCGGCAGGGGAGACUGGAAUUCCUGGUGUAGCGGUGAAAUGCGUAGAGAUCCGGAGGAACACCAGCGGCGAAGGCGGCAUCCUGGACUGGUCCUGACACUCAGGAGCGAAAGCGUGGGGAGCGAUCCGG
This 253-nucleotide ribosomal RNA is filed under the name uncultured bacterium. Its description in RNAcentral is "partial 16S ribosomal RNA". It matches the Rfam family "Bacterial small subunit ribosomal RNA", at positions 524 to 776 of the family's 1533-position model. The record is from RNAcentral.